AUUCCAUAAUGAGGGCCGUUUUUGAUCAUCAUGUUGAAACGCUCAAAAGCUUCAUGAAACAUUUUGCCUUGUUGCUGUUGAAAACUCCUCAACCCUUUUUUUUGCAU
Helianthus annuus (common sunflower) is the source of this 107-nucleotide non-coding RNA. Lineage: Eukaryota; Viridiplantae; Streptophyta; Magnoliopsida; Asterales; Asteraceae. The record is from Rfam.